UACAGAGGGGGCAAGCGUUGUUCGGAAUUACUGGGCGUAAAGGGCGCGUAGGCGGCCCGCUAAGUCGAACGUGAAAUCCCCAGGCUUAACCUGGGAACUGCGUCCGAUACUGGUGGGCUUGAAUCCGGGAGAGGGAUGUGGAAUUCCAGGUGUAGCGGUGAAAUGCGUAGAUAUCUGGAGGAACAUCAGUGGCGAAGGCGACACCCUGGACUCAUACUGACACUGAGGUGCGAAAGCGUGGGGAGCAAACAGG
Molecule: ribosomal RNA, 253 nt
Filed under: uncultured bacterium
Lineage: Bacteria
Description: partial 16S ribosomal RNA
Rfam family: Bacterial small subunit ribosomal RNA
Source: RNAcentral